CAAUAGCGUAUAUUAAAGUUGUUGCAGUUAAAAAGCUCGUAGUUGGAUUUCUGGUGGAGAAGCUCCGCCCUCACGCGAGUGCGCGGAGGCUCUCUACCAUCCUUCUGUUAACCCUCGUGGUCCUUUAUUGGAUGCUUGGGAGCCCAGAUAUUUUACCUUGAGAAAAUUAGAGUGUUUCAGGCAGGCUUUCGCCGGAUACAUUAGCAUGGAAUAAUAGAAUAGGACUUUUGCCUCUUCUGUUGGUCUGAGGGGUCGAAGUAAUGAUUAAUAGGGAUAGUUGGGGGCGAUUAGUGACUUAACUGUCAGAGGUGAAAUUCUUGGAUUUUGUUAAAAGACGGACUACUGCGAAAGCAUUUGCCAAGGAUGUUUUUCAUUGAUCAAGAACGAAAGUUAGGGGAUCGAAGACGAUCAGAU
This 414-nucleotide ribosomal RNA is filed under the name uncultured eukaryote. Its description in RNAcentral is "bacterial SSU rRNA". It matches the Rfam family "Eukaryotic small subunit ribosomal RNA", at positions 592 to 1013 of the family's 1831-position model. The record is from RNAcentral.